This 253-nucleotide ribosomal RNA is filed under the name uncultured bacterium. RNAcentral describes it as "partial 16S ribosomal RNA". It matches the Rfam family "Bacterial small subunit ribosomal RNA", at positions 524 to 776 of the family's 1533-position model. The record is from RNAcentral.
UACGCAGGGGGCGAGCGUAUCCCGAAUUUACUGGGCGUAAAGCGCACGUAAGCGGCUUCGUAAGUCUGGUGUGAAAUCUCACGGCUCAACCGGGAGGCUGCACCAGAUACUGCGGAGCUCGAGGACGGGAGAGGAGAUCGGAAUUCCCGGUGUAGCGGUGAAAUGCAUUGCUAUCGGGAGGAACACCUGUGGCGAAGGCGGAUCUCUGGCCCGUUGCUGACGCUGAGGUGCGAAAGCUGGUGGAGCGAAAGGG